RNAcentral lists this ribosomal RNA (301 nucleotides) under uncultured bacterium. RNAcentral's name for it is "partial 16S ribosomal RNA". It matches the Rfam family "Bacterial small subunit ribosomal RNA", at positions 509 to 808 of the family's 1533-position model. The record is from RNAcentral.
CAGCACCGCGGUAAAACGUAGGUGGCAAGCGUUGUCCGGAAUUAUUGGGCGUAAAGGGCUCGCAGGCGGUUUCUUAAGUCUGAUGUGAAAGCCCCCGGCUCAACCGGGGAGGGUCAUUGGAAACUGGGAAACUUGAGUGCAGAAGAGGAGAGUGGAAUUCCACGUGUAGCGGUGAAAUGCGUAGAGAUGUGGAGGAACACCAGUGGCGAAGGCGACUCUCUGGUCUGUAACUGACGCUGAGGAGCGAAAGCGUGGGGAGCGAACAGGAUUAGAUACCCGCGUAGUCCCUGUCUCUUAUACA